CGGCUCUUCCUAUCAUUGCGAAGCAGAAUUCGCCAAGCGUUGGAUUGUUCACCCACCAAUAGGGUAAGUUGG
RNAcentral lists this non-coding RNA (72 nucleotides) under Gongylonema pulchrum. Its description in RNAcentral is "Eukaryotic large subunit ribosomal RNA". It matches the Rfam family "Eukaryotic large subunit ribosomal RNA", at positions 2885 to 2956 of the family's 3401-position model. Lineage: Eukaryota; Metazoa; Nematoda; Chromadorea; Rhabditida; Gongylonematidae. The record is from Rfam by way of RNAcentral.